Ribosomal RNA from Danio rerio (zebrafish), 116 nucleotides. The record is from Ensembl. NCBI's taxonomy places the organism in Eukaryota, Metazoa, Chordata, Actinopteri, Cypriniformes, Danionidae.
ACCAGUGCCAUAUCACCCUGCAGCCCAAGACUGGUUACUCACUGAAGCUAAGCAGGGCUGAGCCUGGUCAGUACCUGGAUGGGAGACCACAUCGGGGAGCUAGGUUGCUGUUGGAA